Molecule: long non-coding RNA, 867 nt
Organism: Asparagus officinalis (garden asparagus)
Lineage: Eukaryota; Viridiplantae; Streptophyta; Magnoliopsida; Asparagales; Asparagaceae
Exons: 3
Source: RefSeq, a predicted model, not a curated record
CUUGCUGUUUUUUCUUCUCUCGUUAAAGACUUACUGGUGAAGGUCUGGAAGGAUUCCCGGAAGCUGCGUAAGCUUUAAGUCUUUUUGCGAGGCUCUACUGUUAAUUGCUGGUGUAAUGAUUUCAAUUGCAGCAAGGAAGCAAAUUGACCAUGUUAAGUCUUCUAUGUCAGACAGAUUUUUAUUCUUCUCCUUGUGGGGGAAAAUUCAGGAGAAAACUAAACGUAGAGAAAAGCUAAUGUAGCUUGGAACUUACCAUCAAGAUCUAAACCGACUGCUCGCAUUGAGCCCAUUUUGCAUUGGCUCUACUGCCACAAACUACUAUUGCCACCUACUAUUUUUUUUCUACUUCAUAUUCAAUUAUUAUCAGCAAAACUACCCAACAACAGCUCGAAGAGGUUUUAUUGAUAGACGCGACAUGCGGAUGCAAUUUGGUUCCAGGGAAUAUCUAGUAUAUCUUAAGGAUCAAUAAGUGGAGCGUGAUGUAACAUUUUCGCUGGAAAGAAGCGAAAAAGAAGCUGUACUGUCCAUGACAUACCUAGUGAAUAUCAAUGUCCUAGUUAUAUAUCUCAUGUUUUUGGAGGUUUAUGUGCAGAAGUAACCUGAAUCUGUUGCUUUCACUUCAUGGAAAGAAGGACUAGUUCCAAAUAAGGAAUCCAAUCAACUUGCUUCUCUGGACACCAAAGCAUAGGCAACAAAUUCUGAAAAACCAACUUGCUUCUCCAGAUACCAAGGCACAGGUUUCUUCUUUGGUAUUACCUGAAUGUCAAUGGGGAAUCUUAAGACAGUGUCUGAUAGAGCAGCAUCAUACAUAUCAUAUGGACGUCCUUCAUAUAAAUCAUCAAGCCUCUUCUCCCACCGAUGUAGAGC